UAGUCAUGUGCCCCCAGCCGAGA
This 23-nucleotide unclassified non-coding RNA is filed under the name Mus musculus (house mouse). RNAcentral describes it as "oocyte_clustered_small_RNA11487". The record is from RNAcentral. Lineage: Eukaryota; Metazoa; Chordata; Mammalia; Rodentia; Muridae.